RNAcentral lists this ribosomal RNA (250 nucleotides) under uncultured Nanohalarchaeota archaeon. RNAcentral's name for it is "uncultured Nanohaloarchaeota archaeon partial 16S ribosomal RNA". It matches the Rfam family "Archaeal small subunit ribosomal RNA", at positions 474 to 723 of the family's 1478-position model. The record is from RNAcentral. Lineage: Archaea; Nanobdellati; Candidatus Nanohalarchaeota.
UAGCAGGACCCCAAGUGGUAGUCGUUAUUAUUGGGCUUAAAGUGUUCGUAGCCUGCCGUGUAAGUCCGCUGUGAAAUCCACGCGCUUAACGUGUGGGCGUGCAGCGGAUACUGCAUGGCUAGGGACCGGACGGCGUUGAGGCUAUUCCCGGAGUAGGAGUGAAAUCCUAAAAUUCCGGGAGGAGCACCUGUGGCGAAAGCGCUCAACGAGUACGGAUCCGACGGUGAGGAACGAAAGCUAGGGGAGCGAA